This 209-nucleotide long non-coding RNA is filed under the name Elaeis guineensis (African oil palm). Its description in RNAcentral is "long non-coding RNA (EGUI_LNC020300)". Lineage: Eukaryota; Viridiplantae; Streptophyta; Magnoliopsida; Arecales; Arecaceae. The record is from RNAcentral.
GAGGGUCUUUGGUUUUUAUAUGGGGUAUCUCUUGGGUACAAAAGAGGAUGUCUAAUUAUGAAUGUAAGGGCUCCAAUAGUUGGCUCCUAAUAGGCUUCCUAAUGUAAGUUGGACAACUUAAGUUAAUAAGAAUCCUAAUGCAAGUAGGACUUGUAUUAUGAGAUUGAAUAGGAUUCAAUCUUUAUGCCUAUUUAAAGAGACCUCCCCUA